CAGUAGCGUAUAUUAAAGCUGUUGCAGUUAAAAAGCUCGUAGUUGGAUCUUGGGCCCAGGCCUGCGGUCCGCCGUGAGGCGUGUACUGCAGUCCUGGCCUUCCUCUCGGUUUUCGCCCGGUGCCCUUAAUUGAGUGCCAGGAGAGGCCGGAACGUUUACUUUGAAAAAUUGGAGUGUUCAAAGCAGGCCUCGCGCCUGAACAGCAGAGCAUGGAAUAAUGGAAUAGGACCUCGGUUCUAUUGCGUUGGUUUUCGGAACUCGAGGUAAUGAUUAAGAGGGACGUGACGGGGGCGAUUCGUAUUGCGGUGUGAGAGGUGGAAAUUACUUGGAUCGCCGCAAGACGACCGACUGCGAAAGACAUUUGUCCAACGAAAUGUUUUCUA
RNAcentral lists this ribosomal RNA (383 nucleotides) under uncultured eukaryote. RNAcentral describes it as "SSU rRNA". It matches the Rfam family "Eukaryotic small subunit ribosomal RNA", at positions 592 to 973 of the family's 1831-position model. The record is from RNAcentral.